GUUUUUUUGCUUUAUUAUUUUAGGUUUCUUCAAUGAAUUUGACUACAGUUUUGAACUGGAACAGACAGUCACAAAGAAAAUUAGGUGGAGCAAUAGGCUGUCUUGUCUCAACCAACCCAAACAUAGGAAAAUGAAAUUAAGCUUCAAUAAAAGAUCAAACACUUGGAUUGAAAUGGUUGAUUGCUCGCUUAUUAUAUGAAAGCCAUAACAUAAUUAAGCAUCAUUAUAAGAGAAAUUAAAGAGUCUUGAAACUGAGUACACUUGUCAUCAUCAUUUAUGUGUAGAAUCUAUAUGUGGAGGCGUCAGUGACAAUAUUCCGGAAUCCACCAAUUGUAGAUGCUACCAUUAUGAACACUCCAGUGAAUAUGGAAGCCCAGUUGAUAAACCA
This 388-nucleotide unclassified non-coding RNA is filed under the name Hevea brasiliensis (rubber tree). The record is from RNAcentral. Lineage: Eukaryota; Viridiplantae; Streptophyta; Magnoliopsida; Malpighiales; Euphorbiaceae.